This 233-nucleotide transfer RNA is filed under the name Pneumocystis jirovecii. RNAcentral's name for it is "tRNA-Pseudo(TAT)". The record is from RNAcentral. Lineage: Eukaryota; Fungi; Ascomycota; Pneumocystomycetes; Pneumocystales; Pneumocystaceae.
AUUUAUAUAUAUAAAUUGAUUAAAAAAUACAAUUUAUAAUUAAAUGUUUAAUAUAUAUAUAUUUAUAUGUUUAUAUUUAUCAAUGUAUUAUAUUUAGAUUUUAGUAUCUAUUUUUAGACACUUAUAUUUUUAAUAUUUUAAAAAAAAAAAACAAAAAUAUUACUAUAGAUGUUACUUCUUAGAUUUAAUAAUUUAUAACAUAUAUAUUAAAAACAUAGACAUUUUUGUAAAUU